Molecule: small nuclear RNA, 130 nt
Filed under: Suricata suricatta (meerkat)
Lineage: Eukaryota; Metazoa; Chordata; Mammalia; Carnivora; Herpestidae
Description: U4 spliceosomal RNA (ENSSSUG00005014454.1)
Rfam family: U4 spliceosomal RNA
About the family: U4 small nuclear RNA (U4 snRNA) is a component of the major U2-dependent spliceosome. The structure of U4 snRNA from yeast and human has been reported.
Source: Rfam by way of RNAcentral
AGCUUUGCGCAGUGGCAGUAUCGUAGCCAAUGAGGUUUAUCCGAGGCACGAUUAUUGCUAAUUGAAAACUAAUAAUGAAGUCUCACUCACUAGGGCAAAGACAUCUGUUUGACCUUUUCUCCCCAUGGGA